This 2605-nucleotide long non-coding RNA is filed under the name Canis lupus familiaris (dog). RNAcentral describes it as "lncRNA (ENSCAFG00030012560.1)". The record is from RNAcentral. Lineage: Eukaryota; Metazoa; Chordata; Mammalia; Carnivora; Canidae.
AUGGUUACUGGAAGUUGGAAUCAACUAGUUAAAUGGAAGGAUCCUAGAACUCCUUGUGAUGCAGACCCCUCAUCUCAGCCUGAAAAGGCAUCUACACCAUCAAUAUGUGAACCGUGGAAGCAGAAGUCCUCAGACAUCCUGCCAGGUGAGAGAGCCACAGAACACAACAGCCUUGGGGGAUACUUGGAUCAUGGGAACAGGUGGAGCACCUAUUGGCUGUGAGGUAACCAAUGGUGGGCCUUUAAUCCUUAAUCCACUGGUAGAACAUUGAAUGAAAUGAGGAUCACCUACUUUAAAAACAUAUUUUCAUUAAAUCUCCAUCAAGGUCUGCUCUCCUACCUAGAGUGCUGUACCUAGCUGGCUGAUGAAACAAUCAUUAAAUUAACCAAGGGGUGCCUGGGUGGCUCAGUCCAGCGUCUGACUCUUGAUCUUAGCUCAGAUCUUGAUCUCAGGGUUGCAAGUUCAAGCCCCAUGUAGGGCUCCGCGUUGGAGGUGGAGUUUACUUAAAAUACGUACAUGAAUAACUAAGCUAAGACCAGUAGUGGUUGGCCGUUCUUCCCUAUGGGGAUCAGUUUGUGGCAAGAGUCAUCAGUCUUUGGGACCCGGGUUAUUUAAGAGCAGGCAAACGUGCAGCAAAGUCUUGGGAGGCUUGGCCCUUCUCUCGCCUGCUGACUUCUUACCUUUCUUAUCCCAGUGCUUCCACGAUUGCUGUACCAUAAACAGCAAAUGAAAAGUGUGCCCCAAAUGGCAAAUAAAAGUCAGCAGAGUUUUACCCAGAGGGGGACAAAUCUUAAAAGAUGUUUCAGUUGAUAAAUAGUUUUUCCCACCUGAAAGGUGGUCUUGAGUACGUAGCAAAUGUGCAGAUUUUACCCCAGAGAUCAUAAAAACAAAGUAGUGGAAAAAUGAAAAUUCCAUUUUAGCAAAGAUGAUCAUGUUAGAGUACCUGGGUGGCUCAGUCACUGAAGCGUCUGACUCUUGAUUUGGGCUCAAGUCCUGUCUAGGGGCGAUGAGAUCGAGCCCCAUACCAGGCUCUGCACUGUGUGUGGAGCCUGCUUGGGAUUCUCUCCCUCCCCUUCCUCUGGCCUUGCUCCCCUCCCCUCCAACCACACCUCACUUGCACUCUCUCUUUCUCUCUCUCAAGAAAAAAAAAAAAAAAGAUAAUCACAUUGAUGGUUAAAUAAAUCGAAUAAUCAGGUUGUAAAUCUGUGGAGUUUUUUGUGUUCUUUAAAAAGACAGGGUGCCUUCGAAGAGAAUUCCUACUAACUUUUAUGAGCAUUUAAUACUAAAAGGAACUAAAAUGGAACACCACUGCUGGAACACUACGUAACCAGAUGGAACUAGUCGGUUCUAAUGGAUCUAUGCUCUCAUGAGAAGCAUCCCGAACGGCUGUGCUGUGCUGGUGGUCCCUACUGGUGGAAGAGCUCCUUUACUCCAGGCUCUCCCACUCCUGUGGCUGCAUAAACACACACAGCCACCUUGGUGGGAAUAAGCAAUGCACAUGCCAGGGUCAAAGUGGGGAGGAGAGAGUCAACCACAAAAAGGGGCAGGAGGUAAGAGCGGUAUUUAUUAUUUGUCGGGCUCCAGGGAAAUCAUUGGAAAUAAAACUCCCUACCCCAGCAAGGCUCUCAUAGGGAAGGGAUCUCUAAGGCCUGCCCCGACCUCCUGAAAGCAUCCCUUACUUGGCGCUUUCCAUUUGCCUCAGAGCCACGUACAUAUGUGCAGGGGGAAUGUUUUCCAUCCUCUUGGAACAUUGGUGAUAGCUGAGGUCAUUGUGUGGUUAAGUACUGAUCGGAGCUGGCAGUCCUAGGAUGCUAGCUUUUUAAAAAUGGAACAGAAAACUCCAUUAUUUGGAAGCAGUAAAUAUACUUGAGCAACACUGUUCUCCCUGGUGAGUUUCUCCGGAAGUGAACAGGCCUGGGACCCGUGUUCCAGUGGAAAUGGUGGCCCACAGUCAGGGCGAUUCAAGAUCAGGAUCAGAUCACUGCUGUUUGGAAACUGUGCCCCACACCUGCUCGGGAAGGGCUUCCAGAUAUCCUGGCACAUGAAAAACACUUUAACAAAUGCAUUUUACUUCUCAUCCAUGUUACUCAAUCUUUCAUUAACUUCAUAAACACUGCCCUCCCCCCAUAUGAUCUUAAUACUCUCUACUAGGGAUGAAAAAAUACAUCAUCAUAGCAGUUGGUAUCAGAAUCCUUUUAGGAGACACAGGACGUUCCUCUGAGCCCCCACAGCACUUAGCCUAUACUUUAUAAGAUUGGUUGUUUUUUUUUUUAAUGCGGUAAAAUGUACAAUUAUAACUGUUUUUAAACGUGCAGUUUAGUGGCAUUAAGUACAUUGUUAUGUAGCCAUCAUCCAACUCCAGAACUUUUUUCAAACUCUAUACUUAUUAAAAAUAACUCCCCAGUCCCUGCUCCCCCCCAGGUCACUGGCAACCACUAUUCUACUUUCUAUCUUUGUGAAUUUGACUUCUCUAGGUGCCGCAGAUAAGUGGAAUCAUACAGUAUUUAUUUUAAAAUAUUUAUUUAUUUUUGAGAGAGGUAGGGGGAGGGACAGAGGGAGAAGGAGAGAGAGAGUCCUCAAGCAGACUCCCUGCUGAGCACAGAGC